GCCUUCGUGAUAUAGUGGUCAGCACGCUGGGCGCGUAUUCCGGAUGUCCGUGGUUCGAAUCCCGGCGAAGGCG
This 73-nucleotide transfer RNA is filed under the name Stegodyphus mimosarum. It matches the Rfam family "tRNA". Rfam says of the family: Transfer RNA (tRNA) molecules are approximately 80 nucleotides in length. The record is from Rfam by way of RNAcentral. Lineage: Eukaryota; Metazoa; Arthropoda; Arachnida; Araneae; Eresidae.